AAAUUGAAGAGUUUGAUCAUGGCUCAGAUUGAACGCUGGCGGCAGGCCUAACACAUGCAAGUCGAACGGUAACAGGAAGCAGCUUGCUGCUUUGCUGACGAGUGGCGGACGGGUGAGUAAUGUCUGGGAAACUGCCUGAUGGAGGGGGAUAACUACUGGAAACGGUGGCUAAUACCGCAUAACGUCGCAAGACCAAAGAGGGGGACCUUCGGGCCUCUUGCCAUCAGAUGUG
This 232-nucleotide ribosomal RNA is filed under the name Salmonella enterica subsp. enterica serovar Infantis. RNAcentral describes it as "partial 16S ribosomal RNA". It matches the Rfam family "Bacterial small subunit ribosomal RNA", at positions 1 to 229 of the family's 1533-position model. Lineage: Bacteria; Pseudomonadati; Pseudomonadota; Gammaproteobacteria; Enterobacterales; Enterobacteriaceae. The record is from RNAcentral. RNAcentral also lists the same sequence under 19 other names.